CUCUCUCUCCCACAUUUCUUGCUUUGCUCCUCUGGUGUGUUGGGCACGGCUGAGCUCGAGACAACAGCGCAUUGUGGACCAAAGCUUGCUUCUCCAACAUGCUAGCUUGGGCUCUUCACAUCCUGGGUCAUGCAGAGUUCAGAUGGAGAAGGACCUUACAUCAGCUCUGGUGAACCACUGGCGGAAUGAUCAGCCAAUUACCAUUGAAAAUUUCCAACAGACAAUUAUGAGAAGGGAAGAGCGAGACAAAAAGCAGAAAAGAGGCCAGUCAUCAGAUAACCGCACUGUUGGAUGUGUCUCUCUCUAUCAGAGCUCACCAGUGUGGAAGACAGACUUGACUGGUUUUUCACCGCAAGAGAACUUUAAACUGGGAACAUCCUGUUUGCUGCGAACAGCAACUACAAAUGACAUAAUUACACUAAGCCAAUGCAAAUCACUCAUUGUAUUACUGUCCCUAAGAUUCCCUUGCAGUACAACAAAUUUUGCCUAAACACAGCACAAAUACUACACUUCUGUGGCUAAGAGCUGCAUAUCGUGUGUGUGUGUGUGUGUGUGUGUGUGAAUGAGUCUCUUGUACAGUAUGUCCCAGUUGCUCUCCAGCAGAAAACCAGUACUACAUACAUCUAAAUAAAGCCAUAAUGUGCUAAUUUUACCCAGCCUACAAAGAUUACGUUUUCCAAUAUGCCCAAUUAGUGCAAAACACCUGACCCUC
Sinocyclocheilus grahami is the source of this 712-nucleotide long non-coding RNA. RefSeq lists it as uncharacterized. The transcript is spliced from 3 exons. The record is from RefSeq and is a predicted model, not a curated record. Lineage: Eukaryota; Metazoa; Chordata; Actinopteri; Cypriniformes; Cyprinidae.